RNAcentral lists this ribosomal RNA (415 nucleotides) under Bradyrhizobium sp. RX18. RNAcentral's name for it is "bacterial SSU rRNA". It matches the Rfam family "Bacterial small subunit ribosomal RNA", at positions 8 to 448 of the family's 1533-position model. Lineage: Bacteria; Pseudomonadati; Pseudomonadota; Alphaproteobacteria; Hyphomicrobiales; Nitrobacteraceae. The record is from RNAcentral.
AGAGUUUGAUUCCUGGCUCAGAGCGAACGCUGGCGGCAGGCUUAACACAUGCAAGUCGAACGGGCGUAGCAAUACGUCAGUGGCAGACGGGUGAGUAACGCGUGGGAACAUACCUCUUGGUUCGGAACAACACAGGGAAACUUGUGCUAAUACCGGAUAAGCCCUUACGGGGAAAGAUUUAUCGCCGAGAGAUUGGCCCGCGUCUGAUUAGCUAGUUGGUGGGGUAAAGGCCUACCAAGGCGACGAUCAGUAGCUGGUCUGAGAGGAUGAUCAGCCACAUUGGGACUGAGACACGGCCCAAACUCCUACGGGAGGCAGCAGUGGGGAAUAUUGGACAAUGGGCGCAAGCCUGAUCCAGCCAUGCCGCGUGAGUGAUGAAGGCCCUAGGGUUGUAAAGCUCUUUUGUACGGGAAGA